Molecule: long non-coding RNA, 930 nt
Organism: Morone saxatilis (striped sea-bass)
Lineage: Eukaryota; Metazoa; Chordata; Actinopteri; Moronidae
Exons: 2
Source: RefSeq, a predicted model, not a curated record
GUAUCCGCCGCUCAGCCGAGGCCGGCGAGAGGUCCGUCAUUAGUCAGCAGAUAUGCAGCGGCAGCGUCAUUCAGGCCACUGAAAGGGAGAAUUGAGCGGCCCGCAGCGAACACGUCGGUGUAAAGAGGCUGGUGUAUCGGGGGUAUUAAAGCGGUAUGGACAGCACAGGACCACACCAGAAAACAAACGCUGACAGGACUCCAAUCCGGCCCGGAGACGAGGCGAGGAGGGUGUGACUAUAAUUACAGAGGAGGAGACGCACUACGCUUGCUGCGACAGUAAACAGCCGGUCACGUGGUCCUGGUCCUGUAUGCCGUCAGGGUAAAUGAUGGGGGAGGUCUUUCUCAGCUGCGCAUCCACUCCCAGCCUUCGUCUCCUCCUCCUCCUCCUCCUCCUCCUCCGACUCUCUAAUGAGUAGCAGGACAAAGCGAGGCGAAAAGGCCCGAUUACUGAGACUACAGGAGAGGGGUAGAAAAGGCAACAAUGCCCAGCAAAGAGCCAGCCAUCUUCAACAAGAUCACACACGCACACUAACAGCAUUCAUUGUUGUAGCUCUGACCAAUUCAUGUGCCUGAAAUAUACAAUUACCUCACACUAUCUGUGUCAAAUAUGUUACGUGCCCUAGAAAUGUCCACUGCAAUUAUUUUCCUGUUGAGAAAACAAAAAGAAAAUCCUGUUCUUUAACAUGUUAGUAAUCCAAAUUAAGAGUUAAAAUGGUGUAAAAUUGAUUAAUUCAUCUUUAAAAAUUGGAAUUGUUCAUUCAAUUUAUUAAUUUACAUUUUUAAAAGAUGAAUUAUUCAUUCAAUUUAUCAAGUAAAAAAUACCAAAUAUCUGCUGGCAGAGUUUAUUCUUAAUGUCUUUCAUGAAUUGAAAACUGUGGCUUUUAGAUGAAGUAAGCCAUUUUAAAACAUUAAAGUAAAGAUGUGAUAA